Molecule: long non-coding RNA, 298 nt
Filed under: Bos taurus (domestic cattle)
Lineage: Eukaryota; Metazoa; Chordata; Mammalia; Artiodactyla; Bovidae
Description: long non-coding RNA NONBTAT010616
Source: RNAcentral
AAUCAUUUUUAACUGGAACUAUAAUUAUGGAGUAAAAUAAAAAUCUGAGACAUCUCACUACUUUUUGACAUCAAGCAAAAUGAAGGUGUUUAUCCUUGCUAUGCUCUUACCUACUUCUCGGCCCAGUGCUAUUCAAAAAUUACUUUUUUUUUUUUUAACCUAGACCUAUCUUCCCAGUACUGAACUUGUUUACACUUCCAACAUCAAUAUGUAAUAUCCAUGUAACUGUUUUGGGAAUUACACUUUUCUGUCCUGUUAGAAAGAAUAUUAAACUGCAUUGGUCUAUACUGGGUUCCUG